RNAcentral lists this ribosomal RNA (484 nucleotides) under uncultured bacterium. RNAcentral's name for it is "partial 16S ribosomal RNA". It matches the Rfam family "Bacterial small subunit ribosomal RNA", at positions 30 to 507 of the family's 1533-position model. The record is from RNAcentral.
AUUGAACGCUGGCGGCAGGCCUAACACAUGCAAGUCGAGCGGAUGAAGGGAGCUUGCUCCUGGUUUCAGCGGCGGACGGGUGAGUAAUGCCUAGGAAUCUGCCUGGUAGUGGGGGAUAACGUCCGGAAACGGGCGCUAAUACCGCAUACGUCCUGAGGGAGAAAGUGGGGGAUCUUCGGACCUCACGCUAUCAGAUGAGCCUAGGUCGGAUUAGCUAGUUGGUGGGGUAAAGGCCUACCAAGGCGACGAUCCGUAACUGGUCUGAGAGGAUGAUCAGUCACACUGGAACUGAGACACGGUCCAGACUCCUACGGGAGGCAGCAGUGGGGAAUAUUGGACAAUGGGCGAAAGCCUGAUCCAGCCAUGCCGCGUGUGUGAAGAAGGUCUUCGGAUUGUAAAGCACUUUAAGUUGGGAGGAAGGGCAGUAGGUUAAUACCUUGCUGUUUUGACGUUACCAACAGAAUAAGCACCGGCUAACUUCGUG